UCGAAAUUUACAUCCUUUUUUUAUUAUAUAACAACUAAACAAAGACAGAGUCCAAUCAAAAUCAUACAUAAAGAGUUCAGAAAGAUCUAAUAAUAUAUAGAUUACGAAAACAACAAACGAAGGUAGCAAAGUUAUUACCUAAUGAUUAAAGUUGCACAAACACAAAGAUUAUAAUAACUUCUCUUCUUAUUAGAUUUAGAAAUUCUCUCAAAACUAAACCUUUCAAUGUGUUUCUCUUGAUGGAACAUCUCUCCAUGAGAACUCUUUAUAUAGGAAGAAGCUACAUCUUUUCCUAAGAGCGAAGCUACAUCUUUUCCUAAUAACAAUAUGGAAACAUUCCUAAGCUCGAUAUGUUUUCCUUUUUCCUUAACCCAUCAAACUUCACUUUAAUGAGUUAACUUGAGGAAGCUCCUCAAGUUAAUUGGAAUUAUCCAACAUUCUCCCCCUUAAUUCCAACUUGAAUCUUAGGUAUGUUGAUCUUCUGAACUCCGAUGAACUUGCGCAUUGCUUCGAACUUGAUCCUUGCCAAUGGCUUAGUGAGUAUGUCUGCCUUCUGCUCCACUCCAGGUACGUGCUUCACUUCGAUAAAGUCGAACUCCACACAUUCUCGAAUGAAAUGGUACUUCGAGAGUAUGUGUUUGCUUCUACCGUGAAACACCGGGUUCUUGGUGAGGGCUAUCGCUGACUUGUUGUCAAUCUUCAACACGACCUUCUUGUCUUCUUUGUUCAUGAUCUCGACCAUCAACUCCUUUAACCAAAUUGCUUGUUUUGCAGCUUCCGUAGCUGCCAUGAACUCCGCCUCACAUGAAGAGAGUGCCACUGUGGGUUGCUUGCACGAUGUCCACGUGAUCGGCGAUGUUCCUAGGUAGAACAUAAACCCUGUAGUGCUUCUUCCAUCAUCAACGUCUAUGUUAUGGCUGCUGUCACUGUAACCUGUAAUCUCCGUUGUUCCAUCCCGUUUGAAGAAGAGACCAUACUCUGUAGUGCCCUUUAUGUAUCGUAUGAGAUGCUUCACUGCUUCUCCAUGACUCUCUCUUGGACUCUGCAUAUAUCUGCUUAAUACACCAACCGAAAACGCCAAGUCCGGUCGUGUAUGAAGAAGAUACCUUAAGCAUCCUAUGAUGCUUCGAUACGAUGUUGCAUCAAUCUCAGGCUCCUCCUCUGCCUUUGAUACUUUCAAACUCGUGUGCAUCGGAACAUGAGUAUAGUUACAUGACUCCAUCUUCGUCUUGACAAGUAUACCUUGCGCGUAUCCUUCUUGUUUGAUGUGAAUGCCAUCAGCUCCUUGCGUUACUUCUAUACCAAGAUAGUAUGUAAGCUUCCCGAGGUCUGACAUCUCAAAUCUUCUUGACAUAUCAUCUUUGAAUUGCUUGAUAACGUUGAGUGAAGUCCCUGUUACAAACAAGUCAUCAACGUAUAUAGCUAUGAUCAGAAGCUCCCCCUUCUGUUUCUUUUGAUAUACCGCAGGUUCCUUGGUGCACUUCGUGAACUCCAUCUCCUUGAGAACAUCUUUACUAACAACUAUCUUCUCCGCGACCGGAUCAUAGAGUCUGUAAGCUUUUGAGCCGAGCUCUGUGCCUAGGUUGAUCACCAUCCUUGAUCGAUCAUCCAGCUUCUUGAGAUGAGGACUGUUGAUUUUUGCAAAAGCUACACAUCCAAAGACCCUUAGAUGCUCAAUGUUCGGUUUCUUAACAUACAAGCUUUCGUAUGGAGUCUUGUCUUCCAAAGCCUUUGUAGCAAUGCGGUUUAUGAGAUACGUUGAAUGACGUACUGCUUCUCCCCAUAGCUGAUUAGGUAUCUUCAUAGCUUUCAUCAAACUUCUAGUCAUCUCCAUUAGUGUUCUAUUUCUUCUCUCAACCACACCGUUUUGUUGCGGUGUAUACGGUGCGGUGAGAUGUCUAGUUACACCGUUUUCUUCACAAAAACGAAUGAACUCAGAAGAUGUGAACUCUCCUCCUCUAUCGGUGCGAAAAGUCUUGAGUUGUAGCUUCGUUUGAUUCUCCACGUACUCCUUGAACUUUUUGAACCGAUCGAACGCUUCAUUCUUCUCUCUUAGUAGCAUCGUCCACAUAUAUCUUGAGUAAUCAUCAAUUAAGACAAAUACAUAUCUAUUGUUUGCUGGUGUUGAUGGUGAUAUCAGACCGCACAAGUCACCAUGUACCAACUCCAAUGCGUGUGAUGCUCGAUACUUUGCUUUAGGCGGGAAAGACUUCCGAGUUUGCUUCCCAACUAAGCAGGCGCUGCACACAUCUUUCUCGUGUAUCACCUGAGGCAUACCUACUACCAUUUCUUUGUCUACCAUAUUCUUCAUGACUCCAAACUUCACAUGUCCUAGCCGUGCAUGCCACGUCCAUGUAACAUCAGUUUCUUGUAUUUGAAGACACUUCGGAUAUUCAACCUCCAUUGGCGUCUUGUACAAUCGGUUUGGUUGCCUUGCGACUUGUACUAAUAGCCUUCCACGGGGAUCUUUCAGCAUCAGUAAGUCUUCUUUCAUAUUGACCUCACAACCCAUCUCGGUUGCUUGUCCAAGACUUAUGAUAUUGUGUUUAAGACUUGGGAUGUAGUAGAUAUCUUUGAGUGCUCUUCUCUCCCCUGUUUUUCCGAUGAACGUGAUCGAACCUUUCCCAACAAUCUCGACGUUUGAUCCAUCACCGAAUUUGACUUUGCCUUUGAUGCUCUCAUCUAGGUUUGAGAAGAACUCUCUCUUGCCUGUCAUAUGGUUACUUGCACCAUUGUCAAGGUACCAUAUACUCGUAUUUCCAUCAGAUACAUCAAACCUCUUAGGAAACACUCUCUCUUCGUUGAGGAAUACUACUUCAUGCAUAUAUAAUGCAUCUGCUUCUUGUGUUUCCGUUAGGUUAGCUUCUUCUCUUGGUCAUGUAGGACAAUGUGACACGAAGUGCCCCAUCUUGUCGCAUCGCCAACAUCUAACCUUAGAGUAGUCCUUCUUGGUCUUGUCCGAAGCUUCUCCUCCUUUGUUAUGACCAUCAGAACCAUUAGACCUUCCUCGUCCUCUUCCUCUUCCACCAUAACCUCUACCUCUGCCUCUUCCUCGCGAGUUGCUAUGGCUUCCACGACCUUGUGCAUCAUUCUUUACAAACAUUAGCUUCGAUUGAUCUUCAUCUUGGGUUUCUUCUUUGAUGCGUUCUUCGAAAGCCUUCAAUCUCCCAACAAUGUCUUCGAAUCCCGUUGAAUUUAGAUCCAACACUUGUUCUAACGAAGCUACGAUGUGAAUGAACUUCGUUCUUGGAAGUCCCUUCAGAAACUUCUUUACCAGCUUUGAUGCUUCCAUUAUCUCUCCUAACGCGGCUGCUCUCGAUGCUAAGCCUGAAAGUUUUCCUGCGUAGUCAUCCACCGUGUCUGUGUCUGUCAUCUUCAGUUUGUCGAACUCAGACAUCAAAGUUUGUAACCUUGCUUCUCUCACGCGAUCAGCACCUAGGUUACGGGAUUUGAUAGCUUCCCAAAUCUUCUUCGAUGUAUCAUGUUCUCCAAUCUGAAGUAUUAGCGCCUCCGGGACUGAUUGAAAGAUUAGAGCAAUCGCCAUAUUGUUCUUCUUUGCAUCGUUACUCCCUGGAUCAAUUGUAUCCCAAACUUCGUAUAAACGAAGCAUCACUUUCAUUCGCAUCGACCAUACGGUGUAGUUGGUCGAUGUUAGCAUCGGACAUCGUAUGUCCUUCUUCAUCUCAAGACCUUUAUCACGUGCUUGAGAAUCGUCUCCCAUGUUUUGAUCGAAGUUACAACUCCUCUUGUAAACGACCUUCGAAACCUGGAGCUCUGAUACCAAUUAAAGUUGCACAAACACAAAGAUUAUAAUAACUUCUCUUCUUAUUAGAUUUAGAAACUCUCUCAAAACUAAACCUUUCAAUGUGUUUCUCUUGAUGGAACAUCUCUCCAUGAGAACUCUUUAUAUAGGAAGAAGCUACAUCUUUUCCUAAGAGCGAAGCUACAUCUUUUCCUAAUAACAAUAUGGAAACAUUCCUAAACUCGAUAUGUUUUCCUUUUUCCUUAACCCAUCAAACUUCACUUUUAAUGAGUUAACUUGAGGAAGCUUCUCAAGUUAAUUGGAAUUAUCCAACAAUGAUAAAGUCUAUAAUAAUAAGGCAUUAUUAAGUUCUUACAAACGGAUGAUUUUACUCCGGAAACUUUAGUUCACCAUUCAAAGAAACGUCUCCACGAACACGGCCGCGACC
RNAcentral lists this long non-coding RNA (4190 nucleotides) under Brassica napus (rape). RNAcentral describes it as "long non-coding RNA (BNAP_LNC018666)". The record is from RNAcentral. Lineage: Eukaryota; Viridiplantae; Streptophyta; Magnoliopsida; Brassicales; Brassicaceae.